This is an RNA transcript of Bombus pyrosoma, 10564 nucleotides long. It is a transcript of the gene named organic cation transporter protein, with no coding region annotated. The record is from RefSeq and is a predicted model, not a curated record. The transcript has 3 exons. Lineage: Eukaryota; Metazoa; Arthropoda; Insecta; Hymenoptera; Apidae.
ACAUUGAUCAGUUCAAUGCAUUUGAAAUAACGUAAAUUGAAUUAAUCCGUUCCAGACAUUCAACACGUAUUUGAUAUAAGACAUUUGAAAUGUCUAUUUCUAAAGAACAUAUUGGUAAAUAGUAAAAGAAACAAGUUUAAUAAUCGAAUAUUUUUAUUUAUAAUGAUACAUAUACAUAAAAAUAUUUCAUAAUAUCGCUUAAUUAAUAAUUUUUCUGCAGUCUGUUAAUUGAGAGAGAACUGUACGAGCAGAAGUAAGGCCUGGGUCAGACGAGCGUCAAAAUGACGGAUGUUUCUUUGUUUCUCUUCCUUCUUCUCAGCUGGCAUUUUGCUCGUUUGACCCGGGCUUAAGCAGAGAGAUAAGACGACCAUGUGACGGUUACAUGACGGUGAUUCUGUCUCUUUGUUAGAACUUUGACUUUUCCUUCGAAUUUAAGAGCUGAAUUUUCUUUCACAUCUUUGCUCGCACUUGGAGGAUCUACAUUAUUUGUAUAUCGGUAUUUUUACAAAAUAUUUUGUAAGAUAUAUAGAACAUAAGAUAUAUAAAAUAUAGAAAAAAUGCUCCAUGUUUUGAUAGAUCAGAAGAAUUUUGCAUUCCCAUGAUUAUCAUUUUCGCUUUAUUAUCUGGCAAACAACUUUUUAAAAAUAUUGUAACACGAUAUGCUUCUUGAGAACAUUUUAUUCUGUUACAAAUAUGAGAAUUUUUCAAAGAUUAUUAUUUUAAUUUUUUCAUAGUACAAUAUAUAUACGUAAAUUGAUAAUUUUAGUAUACGAAAUUAAUAGAAUUAAUCAAGUAAUUCGAAUGUGAAACAUGAAAAAUAUUAUUGAAAUUAAAUAAAAUGUUGAAGAAAAUGGCAAAUUAAUUUUCGGAAUUGCGUUAACACGCAAGCGACGCGAUACGAUGCAAUCUCGCUGCAAUAUCGCCAGUGUCAGGCAUUAUGUAUCGGUUAACAUCUUUUUGCUUUCAUCCGGUGAUUCGAUUUCGUCGUUUAGUCCCCUUCUGCAAAUAUAUGUAUAUUCCCUACUUGACAACUAUCCUGAGAUCUCGAUACGUGGCUAUGGCCUUACGGCCUUCUUACAAGAUUAUCCACACCAAGAUAGUAAUCGUUUUGUUUUCUGGGCAACUACACGCAGGAUAGAAAGCGUCGUGUUGCUAUCGCAGUCGCAAAUCAUUUACCACUUUACCGCUAUCUAUAUCUAUAGAUCAUCUCAAAUACAUAUUUCUAAACGUUCUAGGAGAUAUUCAAAAGAUGUAAAACAUUUGUGUAUAGACUAAUUAUUAUGUAACAAAUUACAAUAGAUUAUUACGAUUAUUAUGAAAUAUUUAUUCGUUGAAUCGUUCGAGUUCUUAAGGACUUCGUUUAAUCAAUCGAUCGUAUUUUUCGAUUUGUAAUUUAUGAUUUAUUGUAAUUUACAUUUUACUGUAAAUUCAUUUCAUUUAUACGUAGCACAGUUUAAAUAAUCUUCUUUAUCCUAAUCAAUUAUUUUUAUCGAUUAUUAAUAACCUUAAAACAAAUACAUAUGUAUAUACGAUGUAACAUAUAGAACAUUAUUUCUGUAAAUUAUUAUCCAUUCAAAUUAUACUACGAUUUCCAAGUAAAUGUAUAUCCGAUAUAUUAGAAUUUUAUGUAGAUAUCGAAUUUGACUAUUUUUAGUAUACCUACAUUUUACAGUAGAAUUUUAUACGCGUAUCGAAUUUUCUUACAUAUUUGAUUUAUAUAAUAGACUUUAUAUUGAGAGAUCUUGUUAAUUUUUGUCAUUGAAAAUAAAAAUAUCCUUAAACAUGUCAGUCAGAGAUCUAAAGAGACAGAAAAAUGCAAUUUAAAGCAUUCUAAGACAGAUGCUCAGUGUUCUUUCAAUUUUAAAAUACAAAUCAAAAUUGAACAACGAAUUAUUAACGUAGGAAGAAUUCAAUGUUGAGAAAUUCAAUUGCAUAUCUUAUCAGAUAUUUAAAUGAAGCUUAACGGAGGUUAAUGUAUGGAAGCCGAAAAUAAAAGGUAUCAGUCGACCGAAGCUUAUUAUGUACCUACUUUUUACAUUUAUUAAACAUACCAAUAAGAUAAUUCGUCGUAACUUGCAAGUUUACGUUUUUUUCUACGUAUAAUGCCAAUGACCGUGACUCGAUAGUGACAUUAAGACGUCGAGGUAACAUUAAAAAAGAGAAGAAAAAAAUACUAAAUUGUUUUUCCUCGAGUAACGAAGUAUCCUUAAAAACACAUUGAAAGGUUUCGAUCUUUUCGAGGUUACCCCAUCUUUCACGAAAAUCACCACGUACGUAUAUACUUUUAACAUUUAGUAUAUCUGCUACUUGGUAUCGAAGUGAAUUCAAUAGCUUGGUAAUUACAGUCACAUUAACAGAGUAACACGAAGAAAAUGUCCAUCGUUAGAAAUUCUUUAUUUCAAUCAUUAGAAAAAAGAAUAUACGUAAUAAAAUACGCAUUUGAAUAUUUAAACUGCAAUAGGUACUCGUUGUAUUUAUUACAACGAAAAAAAUGAAAGCAUAUCAAACAUUGAUCCUCCAAUCGAUAUAGAAGAUGCAAAAUAUCGAUUAAUUUUAUGUCUAAAUUAACAUCGUAUCUUUCGAGUAUUACAAAACGUUCACAUCCAUUUUAGUAGCAAGUAAUAACACGUAAUAAUUACUUAAUCGAUCACACAUAGAUAUUCUCAUUUUUGAAUCGCAUCUGUCAUCGAUUCGAUAAUAUAGCAAUAUAAUAAAACCUAAAUCGAUAACGCGCAAUUAUGCAAGAUUUUUAAUGUAUAUUUCUAUACCGCUCGUUGCUUCGACCAACGAUCGUAUGUAUUUAAUGCAAAGUUAAAUUAUUACAUAAACGAUGAAUAGCUAACAAUAGCUAACACUACACUAUCAAACAAUCACUUUCCCUUUCGAGAAUUAUUGCCACACGUUUGCAAGAAAUUAUGGCGUAAUUCUUCCUUUCUAACCAUUUGACUAAUCGAACAUCUCGGAAACUAAGGUCAAGCAGAGUUAUACGUAUAGGAAAAAGUUGUUGAAAACGUUGAUCUUUGCAACGUAUUGAUGGAGAAUGGAAAUGGAAAUCGAUGAGGUAAUUGUGAAUAUGUAAUUACCUUUUUUUUUCUUCUUUCUAUCUACUUCCAUGCUAUCUUUUCUUCUAUUUGCAUUCGUUGUUUGACAUCUGAAUUUGUAUAACAAAUGUUGCUACGCCUACGUGUUGAAGUAAAACGGGUGUAUUCCCUGUUUUGCUCGUGUUUACUCAGUGGCUGUGUAACGAACCACUCCGACACAGUGUAUAUUUGUCUGCUUAUUUCUGCGUGUGUGAUUAUUAUCGAACUACUUACUAGUAUUACUAUAGGAUACGCUGUUACACUAGUAGAUUACGAUCGCGAUCAAAAUUACAAGCACUUGCACGUUAGCUGUGUUAUCGAAACACAUCGAAUCUGUUCGGCUGGUAACAGGCGAAGCGGAAUUGAUGUUAAAUUAUGAUCCGUCAUCAGAUAAUUGAAAAUAUUUCGUUCAAAGUACACGUAAUAUCGAAAGAUAAUUAUAAUUAAAUCAUGACCAUCAGCAGUUAAGAUAAAAUGCACGCAACGUGAUAUCUUUUUUGUUAGUUUGAAAAAUGGAAGGUUUUGUUCAAAUUUUAAAAGUAAUUUUCGUGUCAAGAAAUUUAGCAAACAGUAAAACGCAGUUUGAAAAUCUUUACUUGGAACGUUUAGAUAAAUGUCCUAUGAGGCGAUACGUUAUUGUUAAGUUAUAAUUAAUAUAAAAAUAUAUGAAGUGCCGAAUGCAAGUAUAACAACAUCUAUUUAUGAAUUUAUUCCUGUAGCUAAGAGUUUGCCGAGAAAGUAUUUUCCAACAAUUAGAUAUUCAAGCAGUUUCGCUUCUCAGAAGAUGCAUAUAUGAAUUCAAUUGGCUAUGACAAAAAGUUUAUUAUACCUCACUUUCACUGUCUCACUUUAUAACGUUACACACGGUACAUACUAUUCGCAAUUAAAUAGGUCCUUUCAUAUGUUGUGUCUUCUUUUUUAGAUCUAACGACCUAGAUCAUGUACUUUAUAUUUAUGUACUUUAUACUAUAUUACAUAUUCGAUUCUAAGGACCUGUCUUGUGACAAUAUAACAAAUAUAACACCAAAACAGUUAUAUAAGUUAGCUAUGUAGAAAUAAUAGGAAAAUAAAAGAAAUGAUAAUUUACAAUUUAAAAUCUCAAAAAAAUGUUAACUUACAUAAAAACAGCUAUAUAGAAAUACGAAGAAACUACGGUAUUUGACGAUAAUGCCAUAGAAAUACGCAACUACAAAGAGUAAAGAGGAGGUAGAAUUCCGUAGCUUGGUAUCUGGCAAUUACCAACUGUACCAUACAGAGACGAAUAAAAAUAAUAAGAAAAUAAAAGAAAUGAUAAUUUACAAUUUAAAAUCUCGAAAAAUGUUAACUUACAUAAAAACAGCUAUAUAGAAAUACGAAGAAACUACGGUAUUCGACGAUAAUGCCAUAGAAAUACGCAACUACAAAGAGUAAAGAGAAGGUUGAAUUCCGUAGCUUGGUAUCUAGCAAUUACCUAGAGACGAAUAAAAAUAAUAAGAAAAUAAAAGAAAUGAUAAUUUACAAUUUAAAAUCUCAAAAAAAUGUUAACUUACAUAAAAACAGCUAUAUAGAAAUACGAAGAAACUACGGUAUUCGACGAUAAUGCCAUAGAAAUACGCAACUACAAAGAGUAAAGAGAAGCUUGAAUUCCGUAGCUUGGUAUCUAGCAAUUACCUAGAGACGAAUAAAAAUAAUAAGAAAAUAAAAGAAAUGAUAAUUUGCAAUUUAAAAUCUCGAAAAAUGUUAUCUUACAUAAAAACAGCUAUAUAGCAAUACGAAGAAACUACGGUAUUCGACGAUAAUGCCAUAGAAAUACGCAACUACAAAGAGUAAAGAGAAGGUUGAAUUCCGUAGCUUGGUAUCUAGCAAUUAUCAACUCUACGAUAUAGAGAUGUAUUAAUAACGAAUUUACUAUUAAUUAACAAUGUAAUAUUCUUAAUAAGGAAUUUAAUAUUCUUCCGAUCGGAGCAUUACGACACAGCAUUCAAUCUUUCCCCCGACAAACUUAUAAAUUGCUCUAGACAAAUAUUUCUGUGUUUAAAGUAGGUACUCGAGGAGCAAGGCGGAAUAAUCGCACGUGGUGGAACGCGUAAAUCUUUCGUAACGGUUUGCUCCAGUUUAUUUCCAGUAUAUGCCGGCAAGUCGUACACGUCAGUCAUAAGAUACAUCUCGAUCUCGAUGCAACAAUCGUCCCGCAACUCGUGCCACGAAAACGGUGUACCUUCGUCUUUCUAGCAAUUAAUCCCGAGGCUAAAAUUGAAGACGUUUCAUAAUUGGAGAAGGGGUCACGACAACGAGCUUGAAAAACUGGCGGCGCAGCACCGCGCGUCGUUCAAUUGACCAUCAUUCGACUUGAUUCGUGUCAGUAAACAACUAGCGCAAACAAUAGCCGUGUGGCCGAAAUCCUUUCGAAAAUAACAAUCUGUGGCAGAUGUUACGACGUAAAAUUCACGGAAUCGACAUCAGGUGAAGCGCUUAAGGAGGAAAAUAGGUGGUAACGGUGCCAAGAGAGUCCUGAAUUUUGCAAAAAACGAGUGCAACGCAUUCUCCGGAUGCGACGAAUCCGUUCAGCGGCUGUUCACGCUGGUAAUUCUAGUCGGUUAUCCAGUUCUCCGUGGGCAUUAGAACAGUGCAGUUCACACGCAGUCUACGCUGUUACGUUACUUUUGACUCUGUCCUGAAUUCGUGCCGUCUCGUUUCAAGUAACUAACCAGUCGGCGGACGAGUAAAAUAUUUUCCAAACGGAAGAAAGGAUUUGCGAUAAGGAACAUUGCGAGAAUAUCGAAAUAGCGAAAGAGAAAAGCAGCGAAAUUUCGAUAGCGAAAUUAGAUCGACAAACGAUACGUUGAACACGCCUUAGAAAUGAGUUGGAAAUGCUAAAAGGGCAGAUAAUUAAAAGCUGAUGGACAUUGGGAAAGAAAUAAAAUCAAGGCGAUUUUAACGCGAAUCGCGGUUAGACAGAGAGGUCGGCUAACGAGAAGACGACUGGAGAAACAAGUUUGCCAAGACGAAAGACGAAAGAUGGCGAGCGUAGAUAAAAAUCUCGAGGAGCUGAUGAUGCAUCUCGGCGAAUUUGGUAAAUACCAAUGCUGGCAAUUCUGUUUGCACAUUCUCGGCGCAUUGACAGCCGGUCUGCAUAUGCUGACCUUACUCACAGUCGCUGCAGUGCCACCGCACACGUGCAACGUUCCGCGGUCCACGUUUCCGACAGAAUCGUUCAAUUUCACAUCUUCAACAUGGAACUCCUCUAUCGCGUUCGACGACGUUCCCCGAGCGGUGGACGCGUGCCACUAUUUGGACGCGAACAACGUUACGAAGGAGUGCGAUUCGUGGACCUACGACACGGAGUACUUCCAAUCGUCGCGCGGAAUGGAAUGGAAUUUCGUUUGCUCGCAGCGAUGGAUGGGCGCAGCAGCGCAAUCUUGCUACAUGUUCGGCGUGUUUAUCGGAGCCGUAACGCUGGGCAGUUUGGCCGACAAGUACGGCAGAAAGAUAAUAUUCUACGUGUCUGCUGUUGCCCAACUUGUUUUCGGAGUGACCGUAGCUUUGGUGAACAAGUACUACGUUUUCCUCGUCCUCAGAUUUCUAUACGGUAUCUUCGGUUCGGCUGGCGCUUACAUAACAGGAUUCGUCCUGACGAUGGAACUGGUCGGAGCAACAAAGAGGACCGUUUGCGGAAUAAUGUUUCAACUGGCGUUCGCCGUUGGGUUCAUGCUAGUAGCCGUUUGGGGUGCCGUGAUCAAGGACAGAACGUGGCUGCAAAUCGUCUACGGGCUUCACAGCGUACUUCUUAUCGGCCACUGGUGGCUCAUGGACGAAUCUCCACGUUGGCUGUGGGCUCAAGGUCGCGUCAGCGAGGCGUUGACUAUCAUACGAAAAGGUCUGAAGAUGAAUGGCAAAAACGUAGAUAUAGAUACGGGAAAAUUGAUCAGCGAAGGGAAGAUACGGCAGAUGGAUCAAGAGGAACAAGGUUCUUACGGAGCCUUGGAUCUCUUCAAGACUCCCAAUCUCCGAAAGAAAACGUUAAACGUAUGUCUGAAUUGGUUCGCCAAUUCCAUCGUCUAUUAUGGGUUGUCGUUGAACGCAGGAAAUCUCGUUGGAAAUCCAUUUCUGAUGUUGUUCCUCAGCGGUUUGGUGGAAUUACCUUCGUACUUGCUAAUGUGCUUCCUGAUGGACCGUACCGGAAGAAGAUGCCUGGUCAGUACGUUCAUGUUGAUCGGCGGCGUGUGCUGUAUAAUCGCCUCCAGCAUCCCGACUGGUACUGAUACAGCUGCCACCAUAAUCGUAACCAUCGUCCUGUUCGGCAAAGCUUGCAUAGCUGGCUCCUUCGCGGUUAUUUAUAACUACACGGCCGAACUGUUCCCUACGGUAGUAAGAAAUACCGCCUUGGGAAUAGGCUCUAUGUGCGCUCGUUUCAGCGGAGCUCUCACACCGUUGAUAAUGCUGUUGGACUCUCUGAAUCCCAAAGUGCCUGCGGUACUCUUCGGUUUCGUCGCCCUGGUAUCUGGUUUCUUAUCGUUGUACCUGCCGGAGACUGUGAAUCAGCCGAUGCCUGAAACUAUCGAGGACGGUGAGAAUUUUGGCAAACACGACACCUGUUUCGCUAUGUAUUUGCGCUCGGGCAGAAAAACCAGCGCCGCUUACGAAGCUACACAACUUACGCAACUCACCGUCGACACAGACGAGAAGGAGAAGCUGAAUGAAGGAGGAAGCCCCAAGGAAAAUUCCCACUAGAGAGCAUCCGUUGCCACUCUUUUUUAUUCUUAUAAAAAUCUUCGAAAACAUUCCUACUAUCGUCGAUUUGUUUCUCGAUUGACCGUUUUACGCUUAACUCGACUGGACUAUAAGCAGGUAAAACUGUGACAAGCGCGAGAAUACAUAUCGUGAUUGAAUUAUUUUCCUAAUCCUAUACGAUUCUAAUCGCUAAAUAUGGAAGAAAGUUUUAUCUCUUCUUACAACUUCUCGCGACCAUCGUAAAGUAAUCCUUAUUAAACCAUUGAUCCAUUAAAUAUCGAUAUACGUACGUGUAUUUACGUGCUACAUUGGUUCACUACAGUAUUCGUAGCAAUCGAAGUUUACUAAUUUUCGAUAAACUCGUAUACGUACAAGGUACGGCCGAGCACGAGGUGAUUCAUUAUGAAAGAAUAAGAACGAAAUAUGGAAUAAUAUUUGUUCAUUUAAGGCUUAGUUUUCGAGAAAAUCGAGUUUGGAAAUUUAUCAAGUAUACUUGAAGAACAUGGUUAAUUACCGACUGGUAUGAGUAAACGAUCGAUAAGAUGUUAUCGAUAGAAGCGAAAGUAAGUAGAAGAUAUAAAAUAAAACUUGUCUGUUCAAGGCUAUAUUUUCAAGAAAACAGAGUUCGAACAUGUUUAGUUAAGAAUCGAUCUAGUAAUUACACGCGUACGAUAAUUUUUCAAAUUUAUUUUUUCGGAAACAAAGUGUCUCGAGGAAAUAUUUUAUUCUGCAUUUUCCACUUAUUUUCACGCGUAAAAUGACCUGCUGUCGAUUAUUUAACCCUGUCUAGUCCGGAAUUAGCCACGUAAAAAUAUGCUUGAUAAAUUUUAAAACUCGAUUUUCUUGCAAAUCAAGCCUUAAAUGAACAAAUUUUAUUCCAUAUUGUGUUCUUAUUUUUUCAUAAGGAAUCACUUCGUGCCCGCUUGUACGUGUUAUUCGGCUGCACCCUGUACAUUUCAACCGACUACAUACGUAUCGUGUAAUUUUAGUCUACUAGAAACGUUCACAAGUAGCUACUCUCUGCCUUGAAUAUCCUAUACAUUUUCCCGAAAUAAACUUUCAUUUAUCUAUUUAUAAUUAUCAUCUCUUUCUUUCCAUCUUGCAGCUUUCCACGCGAUAAAUUCUCCAUUUAAAGUUGAACAUUUUUAGUGCACUUGACGGAUUACUUUGGCGCCAUAUUGGCUUUUAGCCGUCAUUCGAUUGGUCGCGCAGAUGAGCGCGGAACCGAAGUUGCCGGAAAUUAGUUUGACUGGCGUAAUCAUAGAGAUAUACGUAUAUACAUAUAUACAGAUAUACAUGUGUGUGUUCGUGUGUGUGUGUGAUGACAUUUAUUUACAAUCAACGACGACUCAUUGCACGAAUCGUGGCUAGAAGCCAAUAUGGCGUCAAAGUAACCGGUUAAAUACGCUAAAAGUGCUCGAUUUUAUACAAGUACGAACGCGUAACUUUUGAACCAGUGGAUGCUGCAUUUUAAAAUUCGUUUCUUAGGUCGGGACACAUCGAAAACUACAAGUUAAGUCAUUUUAAGUUAAACCUUUUUACCUAUUACAUAUAUGUAUAUACGUAUACGUCCAUAUAUGCAUCCCGAACAUUUUGCUUCCUUUAAAUUUCCCAUGAACGAAUAGAAGUCGACGAAUCGUCCGAUUAUGGUCACCUGUUUGCGGUAACUGUGCAGUUUACGAUCAAAUGCGGUUAUGUUUGCCAGCAUUAACGUCGAUCAUUCAAGAAACCUUGGAUAGUGCUUUUUCUUUUUAUAUUCGAUCCUUCUUUACAGACGCAUCGAUCGAUGCAGCAGUAGGUUAGUGUUAAACAUUCGAUCGAGAUUGUAAAUUGAGCUUCUCAGAAUUUUUAUUCGUUUUAACAAAUUUUAAUUUUAGAAAAUUGGCUCGUUUGGAAAAUUUUAAUACGUACAUAGUUGUGACGUUCGAUUAAAAUGCUUGAAAUUAUCUCUCGUUCGAUAGAAAGUUGUAUCGUGUAAUAAUUCUACGGCAUUUUCAUCUAGUGCAUAUCGACAACUUACUUUCUGUUCUGUUCAAAUCGUAUGAUAUCUUUCUCCGAGUUAUAGAAAAUACAAUGGGGAUCUUUACGUUCUACAUUUUAUGCGAUAUGCAUUUGUCGCCACCGAGGAGUCCCGAUUUUCCACCAAUUAUGUCCAGAGACAUAAUACUGCAACGCUAUAUUAUAGCCUAUAGUCUAUAUAUUAUAGUCUAUAGUCUAUAGUCUGUAGACCAUCGGUAUACCAACAAAUAAUUUUCCUUGUACAAUUAAUUUCUGUAUUCUAAACAAUACGCGUUCUAACCUUAAAGCAUGAACAUUUUUUUCGAAACUUCUGUCUUUUAAUUUCCAGCCCGCCUCUAAAUCUAUUUCAAAUAAUCUAUUUAACCAGUUAGCUGUUAUUGAUGAGUACACUCGUCAUGAAGAAAUGGCAAUAGUUUGUGCUACGACGAGUAUACUCGUCAUGCGUAAAAAACACUUAGAAUAUGCUGUUUAAAUUGCAAUUUAGUAAUCGCAGUAAAUUGCGGUAAUGAAAUUAAAAAAUAAAACAUUCAUAUCAUUACAAGUUAAUUCUAUGUUACAACAGCCACGUAUACUCCGUAUUUGACGAGUGUACUCGUCAUCGCUUACUUUUUCCCCACACAUUUUAAGUACUACACACUUUACAAAGAGGUCGUAACAGCUAACCGGUUAAAAUAUUUACGAUACUUUAUAAAAGUAUACUUUUUAUAAAAUUUAUAACUUAUGUAAAAAAUAUAUUUAUAUAUUAUAUAAAAGAA